GUAAAAAAAAAAAAAAAAAAAAAAAAAAAAAAAAAAAAAAAAAACUCAAGUACAUCCGACAACAAGACAUCACAAAACGGUACAGAGUGCAGUCACUAAUCAGUAAUUAACAUAUGACGCUUUCAUACUCGAAUAACACAAAGAGCUGCUAACCAAAACCGGAUUUUAUUUUAAUAUUUUAGGCGGACCUUAUUGAUUAAGAUCUGCAGACAUCGCCUUACGCUUCAAUUCCAACAGCAUUUGAUCGUUUUCCAUCUUCAUCCUCUCGUUAUCGAUUCUCAUCAUCUCCAAUUCCGUAUCUUUUUUACGGCGAAACCUUUGCCAUUUAAACCGUUCCUUCUCUAACUCCAACAUUUGUGCUUGAAGAUGUACCUUCUGUUCUUCUAGUUGUAAUAAACGGUUGUUCAGCCAUUGAUCCUGCAAAAGAUUCGAUUUCACACCUUCUUGAUCCAUGUCCAUCUGCACGUUUUUCACCAGAGAAUCUUCAUUUUGUUUUACCCUCUUUGAAGAUCCUUCACCAACUCCACAUGCUGUUCUUUGACCCAAAUUGACACCAUGAUGAUAAUGACGGUGGUAUUCAUCGUAUUCAUCAUGAUCAAGAUCCACAUAUGGAUCUUGAUCGUCAUCAUCGUCCGGAUCCUCGUGAUCCGGAGGAAGGUGUAA
RNAcentral lists this long non-coding RNA (663 nucleotides) under Helianthus annuus (common sunflower). RNAcentral's name for it is "hypothetical non coding rna". The record is from RNAcentral. Lineage: Eukaryota; Viridiplantae; Streptophyta; Magnoliopsida; Asterales; Asteraceae.